This 557-nucleotide ribosomal RNA is filed under the name Caenis sp. OPU BS C2011-493. RNAcentral describes it as "SSU rRNA". It matches the Rfam family "Eukaryotic small subunit ribosomal RNA", at positions 620 to 1119 of the family's 1831-position model. Lineage: Eukaryota; Metazoa; Arthropoda; Insecta; Ephemeroptera; Caenidae. The record is from RNAcentral.
UAAAAAGCUCGUAGUUGGAUCUGUGUAUCGGACGGUCGGUUCGCCGCUCGCGGCGUCAAACUGACCGGUCCGAACGUCCUGCCGGUGGGGGCUGCCGGUUUUUGUGUUUAACCACACAGAGGUCGGUGCCUCCGUAACUUCCCUCCGCGCUGCUCUUAACCGAGUGGUUCGGUGGGCCGGCACGUUUACUUUGAACAAAUUUGAGUGCUCAAAGCAGGCCGAUUGUUGCCUGAAAAUUGUGUGCAUGGAAUAAUGGAACAGGACCUUGGUUCUAUUUUGUUGGCUUUUCUGAACUCGAGGUAAUGAUUAACAGGGACAGACGGGGGCAUUCGUAUUGCGACGUUAGAGGUGAAAUUCUUGGAUCGUCGCAAGACGAACCGAUGCGAAAGCGUUUGCCAAGAAUGUUUUCGCUAAUCAAGAACGAAAGUUAGAGGUUCGAAGGCGAUCAGAUACCGCCCUAGUUCUAACCAUAAACGAUGCCAGCCAGCGAUGCGCCGAAGUUCCUCCGAUGACUCGGCGCGCAGCUUCCGGGAAACCAAAGCUUUUGGGUUCCGGGG